GAUGAACGCUGGCGGCGUGCCUAAUACAUGCGAGUCGAACGCUCAGAAGAGGAGCUUGCUCUUCUGACGUUAGCUGCGGACGGGUGAGUAACACGUGGGUAACCUACCUUUUAGACUGGGAUAACUUCGGGAAACCGUAGCUAAUACCGCAUAACAUUUUGUAACGCAUGGUUCUUAAUUGAAAGACGGUAUUGCUCUCCUAUAAAGAUGACCCCGCUCCGAUUUAGUUAGUUGGUAAGGUAACGGCUUACCAAGGCGACGAUGCGUAGCCGACCUGUGAGGGUGAUCGGCAACACGGGAACGGAGACACGGCCCAGACUCCUACGGGAGGAGGCAGAAGGGAAUCUUGCGCAAGGGGGGAAAGCCGGACGGGGAAAGGCGGCGGAGGGAAGGAAGGUUUCCGAUUGGAAAGACUCGUUGAAAAGGGAGAAAGAGAGGGGUAGGGAACUGUGCACGUCGUGACGGUACCUAAUCAGAAAGCGACGGCUAACUACGUG
This 497-nucleotide ribosomal RNA is filed under the name uncultured bacterium. RNAcentral's name for it is "partial 16S ribosomal RNA". It matches the Rfam family "Bacterial small subunit ribosomal RNA", at positions 28 to 507 of the family's 1533-position model. The record is from RNAcentral.